Non-coding RNA from Talaromyces islandicus, 79 nucleotides. Lineage: Eukaryota; Fungi; Ascomycota; Eurotiomycetes; Eurotiales; Trichocomaceae. The record is from the annotation of a GenBank genome assembly.
CCCCUGAUGGUGUAGUUGGUUUAUCACGUUCGACUGUAAUGUAAUCGAAAGGUCGCUGGCUCGAUUCCGGCUCGGGGGA